Molecule: long non-coding RNA, 673 nt
Organism: Alligator mississippiensis (American alligator)
Lineage: Eukaryota; Metazoa; Chordata; Crocodylia; Alligatoridae
Exons: 4
Source: RefSeq, a predicted model, not a curated record
AGCUCCAGUGGCGUGAAGCAGCAGUGUCCUUUGAAGUAGAAGCCACAGCAAACAGCUGAGUGUCUCAGUCUUAAUUUGGCAAGCAGUUAUAGGUUAUGAACCAUCUUGAUGUAAAAAACUGGGGCUCUACUGUAUAUCAAGGAUCAAGGUAUCUUUCUGAAUCUAGAGAUGGAGGAGAUGCACAGGAAAUGAACAGGAGAUAAAGGAAACAAUUCAGCUGAACUUUUUUACACCUCUGCUCUGCCUAAACAACUCCCAGAUGGAGAGAAUAGCAGGAAAGCCGCUUCAAGCAAUCAGCAAGUGGACAAGGCAGCAGGAGACAGAACUACUUACUGAACUAACAGAAAUGAAUGGCACCUGCUGGAAUUCUGCAUACUUUACCCUCCACCUGGGAUCUGCUGCAAGGGGUAGAUCCAGAGGAUUGACAGUUGCCAAAUGAAAUAAUGGAAAGAAGAUUGCAUCUCUCUAGAUGGUGAAAGAUGACAAAAAACAAGACGUCCAUCAAGCUGUUAAAUUUGUAUUCAAUAUACCACCAAGAUUCUCUAUGUUUUCAAGGAGAAGGAUAACCUGAGCUAUUUACACAACUGGAAGGCUAUUAGAGGAUAUUUUUCUGAUGUGCAUGCAAGAAGAAAUGGCAACAUCUAAAUAAACUUUGGUACUCUUAUGCUAGAAA